GAAAAAUUAAGCUAUUAAGAGCACACGGUGGAUGCCUUGGCGCUAGGAGGCGAUGAAGGACGUUGUAUGGCUGCGAUAAGCCUCGGUUAGCUGCCGAACAAGCUAUGACCCGGGGAUGUCCGAAUGAGGAAACUCACCCGUAAGGGUACCCGAAAGGGAGCGAACGCGGAGAAUUGAAAAAUCUUAGUACCCGCAGGAAUAGAAAUCAUAAUGAGAUUCCCUUAGUAGUGCGAGCGAAGAGGGAAGAGCCUAAACCUGAUGAGCAUUGAUGUGGAAAGAAAUUAGUGACAGCCACCUAUUUUCCGAAUUUCUUUGAGCUGCCCUUAAAAGCAGCUCAAGGAAAUUCGGAAAAUAGGUGGCUGUCACUAAUUUCUUUCCCAUGAAUGCUCAUCAGGUGUUGUAGGGCGCACAAUAAAGCGGACCGAAGUCGGUAGUCGAACACAGUUGGAAAGCUGGGGCAAAGAAAGUGAAACCCUGGUAGACGAAACUGAUAACGGCCGUGAGUGCGUUCCUGAGUACCACGAGACACUUGAAAUCUUGUGGGAAGCCGGGUGGACCACCACCCAAGGCUAAAUACUACCUAGCGACCGAUAGCGAACUAGUACCGUGAGGGAAAGGUGAAAAGAAGCCCGAUGAGGGUGGUUAAAAGAUCCUGAAACCGUGUGUUUACAAGCAGUGGAAGUACUAUGUUUCACCUUUGGUGAAACAGUACGACCGCGUACCUUUUGCAUCAUGAGUCAGCGAGUUGCGCCUCAGUAGCGUCAGGUUAAGCCGAUAGGCGAAGCCAUAGCGAAAGCGAGUCUUAAAAGGGCGAAUUAGUUACUGGGGGCAGACCCGAAGCCAAUGUGAUCUAUCGAUGAUCAGGUUGAAGCCAGGAUAACACCUGGUGGAGGACCGAACUGGUGGGAGUUGAAAAUCCUUCGGAUGAAUUGUCGAUAGGGGUGAAAGGCUAAUCAAACUUGGCGAUAGCUGGUUCUCCUCGAAAUAUAUUUAGGUAUAGCCUCGGACAAUAUAUUUGAUGGGGGUAGAGCACUGAUUGGACUAGGGGACCUACCAGUCUACCAAACCCAGAUAGUCUCCGAAUACCAUCAAAGUCAGAAUCCGGGAGUCAGUUUGCGGGUGAUAAGGUCCGUAAGCGAAAGGGAAAGAGCCCAGACCAACAGCUAAGGUCCCAAAAUAGAUGCUAAGUGGAAAAGGAUGUGGAAAGACUUAGCCAGCUAGGAGGUUGGCUUAGAAGCAGCCAUCCUUUAAAGAAAGCGUAACAGCUCACUAGUCAAGUCAGUCCGCGCCAAAAAUUCAAC
RNAcentral lists this ribosomal RNA (1301 nucleotides) under Pseudomonadota bacterium. RNAcentral describes it as "bacterial LSU rRNA". It matches the Rfam family "Bacterial large subunit ribosomal RNA", at positions 1 to 1176 of the family's 2925-position model. Lineage: Bacteria; Pseudomonadati; Pseudomonadota. The record is from RNAcentral.